AGUGAACGCUGGCGGUAGGCCUAACACAUGCAAGUCGAACGGCAGCACAGUAAGAGCUUGCUCUUACGGGUGGCGAGUGGCGGACGGGUGAGGAAUACAUCGGAAUCUACUUUUUCGUGGGGGAUAACGUAGGGAAACUUACGCUAAUGCCGCAUACGACCUACGGGUGAAAGCAGGGGAUCUUCGGACCUUGCGCGAUUGAAUGAGCCGAUGUCGGAUUAGCUAGUUGGCGGGGUAAAGGCCCACCAAGGCGACGAUCCGUAGCUGGUCUGGGAGGAUGAUCAGCCACACUGGAACUGAGACACGGUCCAGACUCCUACGGGAGGCAGCAGUGGGGAAUAUUGGACAAUGGGCGCAAGCCUGAUCCAGCCAUACCGCGUGGGUGAAGAAGGCCUUCGGGUUGUAAAGCCCUUUUGUUGGGAAAGAAAAGCAGCAGGUUAAUACCCCGCUGUUCUGACGGUACCCAAAGAAUAAGCACCGGCUAACUUCGUG
RNAcentral lists this ribosomal RNA (492 nucleotides) under uncultured bacterium. Its description in RNAcentral is "partial 16S ribosomal RNA". It matches the Rfam family "Bacterial small subunit ribosomal RNA", at positions 29 to 507 of the family's 1533-position model. The record is from RNAcentral.